GAUGAACGCUAGCGGCAGGCUUAAUACAUGCAAGUCGAGGGGCAGCAGGGGUAGCAAUACUCGCUGGCGACCGGCAAACGGGUGCGGAACACGUACAGAACCUUCCUUUAAGUGGGGAAUAGCCCAGAGAAAUUUGGAUUAAUACCCCGUAACAUUAUGAAGUGGCAUCACUUUAUAAUUAUAGAUUCAUCGCUUAAAGAUGGCUGUGCGGCUGAUUAGGUAGUUGGCGGGGUAACGGCCCACCAAGCCUGCGAUCAGUAACUGGUGUGAGAGCACGACCAGUCACACGGGCACUGAGACACGGGCCCGGACUCCUACGGGAGGCAGCAGUAAGGAAUAUUGGUCAAUGGACGCAAGUCUGAACCAGCCAUGCCGCGUGGAGGAUGAAGGUCCUCU
Molecule: ribosomal RNA, 396 nt
Filed under: uncultured bacterium
Lineage: Bacteria
Description: bacterial SSU rRNA
Rfam family: Bacterial small subunit ribosomal RNA
Source: RNAcentral